Molecule: transfer RNA, 86 nt
Filed under: Azospirillaceae bacterium
Lineage: Bacteria; Pseudomonadati; Pseudomonadota; Alphaproteobacteria; Rhodospirillales; Azospirillaceae
Description: tRNA-Tyr
Rfam family: tRNA
About the family: Transfer RNA (tRNA) molecules are approximately 80 nucleotides in length. Their secondary structure includes four short double-helical elements and three loops (D, anti-codon, and T loops).
Source: RNAcentral
GGAAGGGUGGCCGAGUGGUUAAAGGCAGCAGACUGUAAAUCUGCCCGCGUCAGCGUACGAAGGUUCGAAUCCUUCCCCUUCCACCA